AAAUGAAUUGACGGGGACCCGCACAAGCGGUGGAGCAUGUGGUUUAAUUCGAAGCAACGCGAAGAACCUUACCAGCUCUUGACAUCUGAUGCAUAGCGUAGAGAUACGUGAAAUUCUUCGGAACAUCAAGACAGGUGGUGCAUGGUUGUCGUCAGCUCGUGUCGUGAGAUGUUGGGUUAAGUCCCGUAACGAGCGCAACCCUUAUUAACUAGUUGCCAGCAUUAAGUUGGGGACUCUAGUGAGACUGCCGGUGACAAACCGGAGGAAGGUGGGGAUGACGUCAAAUCAUCAUGCCCCUUAUGAGCUGGGCUACACACGUGCUACAAUGGAUGGUACAACGAGCAGCUAACUUGCGAAAGUAUGCGAAUCUCUUAAAGCCAUUCUCAGUUCGGAUUGCAGGCUGCAACUCGCCUGCAUGAAGCCGGAAUCGCUAGUAAUCGCGGAUCAGAAUGCCGCGGUGAAUACGUUCCCGGGUCUUGUACACACCGCCCGU
This 493-nucleotide ribosomal RNA is filed under the name uncultured bacterium. RNAcentral describes it as "bacterial SSU rRNA". It matches the Rfam family "Bacterial small subunit ribosomal RNA", at positions 903 to 1397 of the family's 1533-position model. The record is from RNAcentral.